RNAcentral lists this ribosomal RNA (1855 nucleotides) under Pliciloricus sp. JKP-2005. RNAcentral describes it as "SSU rRNA". It matches the Rfam family "Eukaryotic small subunit ribosomal RNA". Lineage: Eukaryota; Metazoa; Loricifera; Nanaloricida; Pliciloricidae. The record is from RNAcentral.
UAGUCAUAUGCUUGUCUCAAAGAUUAAGCCAUGCAUGUCUAAGUACAAACUUCUUGUAUAAGUGAAACUGCGAAUGGCUCAUUAAAUCAGUUGUGUUCUCUUAGAUCGCGUGUUACAACAUGGAUAACUGUGGCAAUUCUAGAGCUAAUACAUGCUUUAAAUUCUCGUUUUGAUGUUUUGGCAUCAUACGGGAUGCAUUUAUUAUGCCAAAGCCAACCGGCUCCGGCUUGCCGGAACCGUUCAGCUUCGGGCGACUCCAGAUAAUUUUGCCGAUCGUAAGGCCUUGUGCCGACGACGGAUCUUUCGAGCGUCUGCCUUGUCAACUGUCGACGGUAGGCUAUGCGCCAACCAUGGUGACAACGGGUAACGGGGAAUCGGGGUUCGAUUCCGGAGAGGGAGCCUGAGAAACGGCUACCACUUCUAAGGAAGGCAGCAGGCGCGCAACUUACCCACUCCCGACACGGGGAGGUAGUGACGAUAAAUAACGAUGCGGUGCUCUUAUGAGUCAUCGCAAUCGGAAUGAGCACAAUUUAAAUCCUUUAGCGAGGAUCUAUUGGAGGGCAAGCCUGGUGCCAGCAGCCGCGGUAAUCCCAGCUCCAAUAGCGUAUAUUAAAGUUGCUGCAGUUAAAAAGCUCGUAGUCAGAAUUCAGGUCUUGCCGCGUCGGUCGCACCUUAAUUGGGUCGUACUGGCUGUAGCUGGCCUCAAUGUCCGGUCCUCGGUUGAUGCCUUUUAGUAGGUGUUGGCAGAGGUCGGAGCAUUUACUUUGAACAAAUCGGAAUGCUCAAAGUAAGCACUAAUUGUAACGCUCGAACGUAUCAGCAUGGAAUAAUGGAAUAAGACCUGUCGCUUGUUUCGUUGGUUUUAAAGAUUGACAGGUAAUGAUCAAUAGGGACUGCCGGGGGCAUUCGUACUGCGGUGCUAGAGGUGAAAUUCUUGGACCAUCGCAAGACGAACAGAAGCGAAAGCGUUUGCCAAGAAUGUUUUCGUUGAUCAAGAACGAAAGUCGGAGGUUCGAAGGCGAUCAGAUACCGCCCUAGUUCCGACCGUAAACGAUGCCGACUAGAAAUCAGCCUCAGUCGUCUUUUAAGACUAGGCUGGCAGCUCCCGGGAAACCCAAGUUUUCGGGUUCCGGGGGAAGUAUGGUUGCAAAGCUGAAACUUAAAGGAAUUGACGGAAGGGCACCACCAGGAGUGGAGCCUGCGGCUUAAUUUGACUCAACACGGGGCAACUUACCCGGUCCGGACACCGUUACGAUUGACAGAUCGAGAGCUCUUUCACGAUUCGGUGGGUGGUGGUGCAUGGCCGUUCUUAGUUGGUGGAGUGAUUUGUCUGGUUGAUUCCGAUAACGAACGAGACUUCAGUCUACUAGUUCCCUGGUGCAGUCUUCGGACUUGUUCUGCCCUAGCGGUUAGGCAGCGUUAGGCAACUAGCGUUUGCUGAGGGUACUAGAGAGACCAACGGUACAAGCCGGAGGAAGCGAAGCAAUAACAGGUCUGUGAUGCCCUUAGAUGUCCGGGGCCGCACGCGCGCUACAAUGCAGGAGACAACGGGUACUUUUCCUAGCCUGAUAAGUGCUGGGUAAUCCCUCUUUAAAAACUCCUUCGUGGUGGGGACAGGGACUUGCAAUUGUUUCCCUCGAACCAGGAAUUCCCAGUAGGUGUAAGUCAUCAGCUUGCGCCGAUUACGUCCCUGCCCUUUGUACACACCGCCCGUCGCUACUACCGAUUGGAUGAUUUAGUGAGGCCUUCGGAGGAGUUACCCGGUUUAGUUAAUUCUAAACUGUGGUUGACAUCAAAGUUGGUCGAACUUGCUCAUUUAGAGGAAGUAAAAGUCGUAACAAGGUUUCCGUAGGUG